This 571-nucleotide ribosomal RNA is filed under the name Candida dubliniensis. Its description in RNAcentral is "eukaryotic LSU rRNA". It matches the Rfam family "Eukaryotic large subunit ribosomal RNA", at positions 62 to 648 of the family's 3401-position model. The record is from RNAcentral. Lineage: Eukaryota; Fungi; Ascomycota; Pichiomycetes; Serinales; Debaryomycetaceae.
AAACCAACAGGGAUUGCCUCAGUAGCGGCGAGUGAAGCGGCAAAAGCUCAAAUUUGAAAUCUGGCGUCUUUGGCGUCCGAGUUGUAAUUUGAAGAAGGUAUCUUUGGGCCCGGCUCUUGUCUAUGUUCCUUGGAACAGGACGUCACAGAGGGUGAGAAUCCCGUGCGAUGAGAUGGCCCGGGUCUAUGUAAAGUUCCUUCGACGAGUCGAGUUGUUUGGGAAUGCAGCUCUAAGUGGGUGGUAAAUUCCAUCUAAAGCUAAAUAUUGGCGAGAGACCGAUAGCGAACAAGUACAGUGAUGGAAAGAUGAAAAGAACUUUGAAAAGAGAGUGAAAAAGUACGUGAAAUUGUUGAAAGGGAAGGGCUUGAGAUCAGACUUGGUAUUUUGCAAGUUACUCUUUCGGGGGUGGCCUCUGCGGUUUACCGGGCCAGCAUCGGUUUGGAGCGGUAGGAUAAUGGCGGGGGAAUGUGGCACGACUUUGGUUGUGUGUUAUAGCCUCUGACGAUACUGCCAGCCUAGACCGAGGACUGCGGUUUUUACCUAGGAUGUUGGCAUAAUGAUCUUAAGUCGC